GCAUUGCUGAGGGGUCCCACAAUAGGACAAAAUGGCCAUCCAAUGC
This 46-nucleotide non-coding RNA is filed under the name Schistosoma mansoni. The record is from RNAcentral. Lineage: Eukaryota; Metazoa; Platyhelminthes; Trematoda; Strigeidida; Schistosomatidae.